CCCUUAGAUGUUCUGGGCUGCACGCGCGCUACACUGAUGCGCUCAACGAGUUUACGACCUUGCCUGGAAAGGUUGGGUAAUCUUCUUAAAACGCAUCGUGAUGGGGAUAGAUUAUUGCAAUUAUUAAUCUUCAACGAGGAAUGCCUAGUAAGCGCAAGUCAUCAGCUUGCGUUGAUUACGUCCCUGCCCUUUGUACACACCGCCCGUCGCUCCUACCGAUUGAAUGGUCCGGUGAAGCGUUCGGACCGUGGCCUUUGGACGGUUCGCCGUCUGUUGGCUGCGGGAAGUUCGUUAAACCUUAUCAUUUAGAGGAAGGAGAAGUCGUAACA
RNAcentral lists this ribosomal RNA (329 nucleotides) under uncultured eukaryote. Its description in RNAcentral is "partial 18S ribosomal RNA". It matches the Rfam family "Eukaryotic small subunit ribosomal RNA", at positions 1470 to 1796 of the family's 1831-position model. The record is from RNAcentral.